Molecule: long non-coding RNA, 2339 nt
Organism: Macaca mulatta (Rhesus monkey)
Lineage: Eukaryota; Metazoa; Chordata; Mammalia; Primates; Cercopithecidae
Source: RefSeq, a predicted model, not a curated record
GCACCAGGGCGCCGGCCCUUUUAUAGCCGCCGCGGCCGGGUCCAACCCCUUGUCAGUGAGGGGGUGGGGAGGAGGGCCCCGCCCUCUCCGCCUCCUCCCCUGCGGCCCCCGGCUGACCGGCUCAGCCGCAGUGAGAGGGGCGGGGUAGGGGACCGAGGAGGGAAGGGGAAUCGACGCUGCGUCAGAGGAGACCCCCGAGUUCGGGGUAGCGGGCAGAGGACUCCCGGAGUGGGCCAGUGAGGACCCCCGGGUAUGCGUCGGAAGAGCCUGAGAGUGUGUUCGGCAUAAGAAAGGGGACUUGAAACAGGGAGAGGACAAGGAGAAACCUGAUGGGAAUAGGGGCAGGAUGCCCUAGGGAUGGAGCAAUGGAAGAUUGCAGUCAUUAGGAUGAAGGGAUCCCCGUAUGAGAGAGGACACGAGGCUUUCCAAAUAGUUAAGAGAGGCCCUCAGGAUAGGGGGUACAGAGACUGUGCAGCCAGCCCCGGAAUAGAGGAGGGAGCAAGACAGUCCUGAAUGGGAGCAUGGACGCUCCAUAGAACGGAGACAGGAGACCCCUGACGGGGGGAAGUACAGUGUUCUCCUAACAUCUAGAGGACCCACUUGGAGAGCGCUCAGGAAACUCCGCGGCCAGCCCUGGAAUAGAUGAAGGGGGACCUGGAGUUGGGGAGAAUACCAAGACUACCCUCAAUGGGGGUAUGGGAGACGCUGCAGAGGAUGGAGAGAGGGAACCCCGGAUGGGUGGGGUUGGGAGGGGGCAAAGCGUUCUAUGAAAAGUCGGCAGUGGCCCCCCGAGAGAGGAGACAGGAGACCCUGCUGCCAUCCCCAGUAAAGGGGACGGACCCUCAGCGAAGCGGGCAGAGGGUUCCCUGAAUAGGCAGGAGGAAGCUGGGCUGAGUUUGAGGGGCAGAUAACCCACAGUGGGGGUACCGUAGCGGGGCUUGAGCAUGAAAUUGAGAGAGCUGGCGCCUGUGUGGGGUGGGGGGAAAUGAUGGGUGUCACCCGAGCCAGGUUCUGCACACUAGGGUCAGCUAAGCAGUUUGCUAGUCGAAUGACCUUGGACGAGCUGUAUUCUCCCACCCUUGUUUUUCCAUCUGUACAACGAAGAGGUCUUGCCCCAGAGACAAGCUCCAACUUCUGACCCCCGACUGCCCCAGGAAGUUCCACUUUGAGGGGUCUCUGGCUGAAUUGGGGAUGGGGAACCCACAUCUUGCCGUUCUCUCUCCACUAUGAAGUCCUCUUUUCUCCCUCCCCCUCCCCAUCUUCUCAGCCUCAACUUGUUCUCUGUUCCCCUACCCCCAUAACAGACAAGCAGGCGCCUGAGUCGGCAUCCCUUCUCGCUUCCAGGGAAGUGAUGGGAUGCUUUCCAGGUACAAAAGUCCCUCACCCCACUAGGAUGUCAGGUAGAAAAAGGGGUCCCCAGGACUUAGGGGGCCCUGCAACGGCUGUGACAUUUGGUUCUUUAUUGGUUUUGGCUCAUGUUUUAUGCCUUGGGAGUGGGGGAGGCGCUGCGGCUGGCGCUUCAGCACCGGGGACAGGGCCUGCUCUUUGUUGGGCGUGGGGAGGGGAAAGCGAUUAACUUCUGCUUUUACUUUAGGGGAGGGAAGGGAGGCACGGAGUGCUCAGGGGACCCGAGAGCGGAGGCGAGUGAUCCAGCAGGGUCACACAGUGAGCCAGGGACCCCUCCUUGGACUUCCUGUCAAGGGUCUAGUUCCCUGUUUUCUGGGCUGUUCUCCUCCUGCAUAGGGACCCCUGCGAAAGGACCCCUGGGGAUGCCGGGAGCCCUGAGACCCCCUUGAGAGUUUGUAGACUCCUACUUGCACUCUGAAUCUCCCCCAGGCGGUUAUCUCAACCCCCACUACACCCCCACUUUACCCGAGUUUUCCUGCUCCAGGAUUCCCAGGACAGAACAGACAGAUCCCCCAGGAAAGACCUCUGCCAGUUCCUUUCUCUUUGCCCUCUGUCUCCUUCCAAGGCCCCUGGUUCUAAGCAGACCCUCAGAGCUGGGAAAGUGAUGGCGCUGUCCCUUUAACCAUGUUUUACUGGAAGGAGAGUGCGCUGGGAGGAGGGAAGAGGGGGAGGGAGUUUCUGGUUUUGCAUGAAGAAGCAGAACAUGAUGAAGCAUUUUUCCCCCAUCUAAAGAUCCAGUCAUGCUCCAGUUUGCAAGGGGCAACGGGCUGGUUGCAGGUGGUUCUGGGAGGAUGGAGUGGUGGCUUAUUUGGCCUCCCCAGGAUGGACUGGAGCAUCAGUCGUGCCCAGGUUCAUCACAGGACAGAUACUCAAGACACCCUGAUCACCAUUAGGUGGACUUGAAGGAGCCAAAAACGGGCGCAGUGGCUCCU